UAGGAAGUAGUGUAGUCAGGAAGCACUAGGAUUUUUGAUAUCCUCAGGAACAGGGUUCGAAUCCCUUCUUUCUAG
Molecule: transfer RNA, 75 nt
Filed under: Gerres filamentosus (whipfin silverbiddy)
Lineage: Eukaryota; Metazoa; Chordata; Actinopteri; Gerreiformes; Gerreidae
Description: tRNA-Gln
Rfam family: tRNA
About the family: Transfer RNA (tRNA) molecules are approximately 80 nucleotides in length.
Source: RNAcentral